Molecule: non-coding RNA, 4219 nt
Organism: Meleagris gallopavo (turkey)
Lineage: Eukaryota; Metazoa; Chordata; Aves; Galliformes; Phasianidae
Source: RefSeq, a predicted model, not a curated record
UUUGAAAGGGAUAAUUGUGCCCAGCAGAUCUUGUUUCUAACGCUUCUUAUAUAUAGUGAAAUACUGUAAUUUAACAGCUUGCUGGGGGAACAAGAAUUUGUUCCAGUUCCUGAUUUAAAUGUUUAUGCUAAUUGCUAUUUAUUGGCUCAGAUGCAAAUGAUAGGUUGGCCAAAGUGAAAUUUUAUGACGAGCAAACUCCCCCCUUUUGUGCAAAUUGAAAAAGUGAAACAAGAAGAGGAUGAAAUGAGCCGAAGAUGGUCUUAAUGGUUGCUUUUUAAUGGGGAAGAUAAAAUUAAGACUGAUUUACGUGGCCAACUCCCCUGUUUUCUCUUAUCAGCUCAUUUGGCAGGAAAAAUGGAAAAGUAAUUGUUCCUCUUUCAAUGUGGGCCUCAAACCAUUAUUUAUUGGCUGAAAUUAAUCGCUGUUUAUCCUUCAUUCACGUGGAAACCGCUCUAUCAGCAUUAUGAACCCCAGCAACUCAACUAGUCCCUUGCAAUUUAGCCAACAGCAAGUGCAGAUCCUGAUGAGCCGUGCCUUAAUUUUCUGGGCUGUGGGAGUUAAUGAAGACUCCUUUCUUAGGUGGACAUAUUUGUAUUUCUACAACAUUAAUAACAAAGGCCCACACUUUUUCUUCUGCAGCAUGUAAACUUUUUUGUGAUAGAGAAAAAAUAAGACAAUUCAUAAACCUCAACAGAGAUGAAAGAGAAAACAGACUGAAGACCAGCGUUUUCUUGUACAGUGAAGAUCCUUGUGAGCUGAAGAAUACAAUAGGCAACUCUCUAACUGCUUCACAAGAUGCCCUGUGCUAUGGAGUGUGUAGCACAAUUGUAAUGGCCUGCCACUGAGUACUGUUCACGUUUAUCCCUCUCUCCUUAUGUUUUACUUUCAUUGCAUCCACCUUCCAGCCCAGUACACUCACUAUGCCGGCUGCCCGUGCAGUUAAUGUCAAAAGGAAAGUAUGCGUCUGGGACAGACACAGCUGCAUCUUAUCUAAUUCUGCCAAAGGGAACCAACUGGUGUUAACAGUAUGCACUUCAGGCAGAAGACUUUUACCACUUCCUUUUUGAGAUGGUGCAAAGCAUCACCCAGCUCUCCUUUCCACAUAGCCAGGAGGAGAGUCAAAUUCUUCUCUUUCCAUUUUUUUUUUUUCCCAGCCCCAGAUGCCCUUGGAAAUAAGAUGUUUUAUUUCAGUAGUAGUAACAGUUGCUGGCUUGAAAAUAUCAUCAAUAAGCAGAUGCAGUUUAUAUCAUAAUAGAGCAAAAAAUGAAUUUUUAAGUAGAGACCGUAGGAACUGUCAAGCUGGUUCAGGGCUUAGGUGCACCUGGUCUCUUUCUGCACCUGUGACAGUGGCCGGUGGAUAGAGUAAGUAAGAAGGUGUGAAGCAGUCUCGUUUGCUUCUUUCGUCUAAGGGCCAGCUUGAUUUCUAAUUUGUCAAGACAGGCUUUACCCUGAAGCAUGAAGUUUAAAAGGUUCAAGACCAGGAAAAGCAGCAAGAGAUGAGAAAUGUGCUUCUGCUAAACAUUGGUUCUGAACAUCACUGUUCAGGGAUAUAUAUAUAUGCUUAGAUACAUCCACAUUGAAAAGCCAUCCUAAUUUUCUAGAUUUCCACGAGUUCAAAAGAACAUGUUAAAGCUGAGCAAGUUUUACAUAAAGCAAUAUGUGCAGCAACUUUGGCUAUAGUGAUGUAUUAGAUAACAAUAAAUAUUGGUUUUGUCUUUCUUCACUAAUUCUGUGAGGCAGAUCACUGGACCCAAUCUCAUAUUUUCCAUGAGCCGGAUCUAAAAUUACAUUGGAAGUCAAUAGAUAUUUUUCUACUGAUUUACAUGUGUUUUGGAUCUCGUCCAAGAUUGGCACGUUAGCAUUUUAGAAAGGGCAGUAGUGAAGUUGUCUCAGAUUUGUAAACCCACUAAUGAAUUUCCAGACUUAUGUUCAACUCACUUCUUACAGAGAGGGCAGGAAUCUGCGACAUAUGUGUAAAACUGAUAUGGGUAUCGAAAGCAAUUCAAAAUGUUUUAAUUAGUGAAUUAAUUUGCAGAUUAAUAUUUCUGCCUUAAUCAGUAUAUAAUUAGGAACCAGAAGAGAAUAUAAGCCUAGCUUUACAAUAAAAAAUAAUAAAUACAAGUAUUCUUAAGUUAUGAUUCUAAGCAGUAUAGAAGGAAUGGAUUCCCUUGCUUUUGGACAUGAUCCAGCUAAAACUACUUGCAUACAUAUAUUUCAGAACCCCAGACAGACUGAGAAUAUUGCUCUUGCAACAGGUUACACAAAGAAGCAAAGGCACAGUGUUAGCAAACCCUGAUUUUGAAGGGAAAUAGUAUUUAUGUGAAUAAGCUGACAAGUCAACAGUAUUCCUCCGAAGUCUCAAUGAUUCUUCAUCACUUCCAGUUUGAUGUUCAUGGUCACAUGUACCAAGAGCAGAAAAUAGUAAACUGUUCACAAAUGCAACUUUGGAAAUGUACCAUUUGGGUGCUGUACACUCACUGGAACAUAUAAGAUUUUUCCAUUUUAUUUCUUAUCUAAGCUAUGGCCUUUGUCCUGCUUCCAGUAAAUUUAGUGGGAAUUUUGCCAUUGACUUCAAUAAAAGUAAGUUUAGACCCCAAAGACAUUGGUUGUGGCUAUGUUACAGUUCACGUCUGCUUAUUGGAACACACUUCUUUUUUUCUAAUUAAAAGCAAGCCUGGGUCCUGGAGCUCAAUUCUGAUUACAAUUUGGUCCAGAUGUCUGAACUUGCUUGCCAAAAUGGAACUCAUAAUCCUGUACAUAAAAGCUUCGUUGAAAGUCUGAAUUUCAGAGAUAAUGACCAUGCAGUAAAAGCCAGUACCUACACUGUGUGUGCUGUGCCCCUGCUUUCAGGUGGAGGUUUAUGUGUUGUAAGAAAUCGUGGAAGGAUAUUUCUAUAUCUAGAAUCCAUCUGAACUUCAGUCUUGAAGCUAAGAACAAUUUCUAAGUUACAAGAUUAUCAAACUACAGUUACUUAUUUCCAGAAGUAAAUUCUUUCACAUCUCUUGAAUCCCAGUUGUCUUUAUUAAGAAGAGUAAGUUUAUCUUUUCAGUUUCCAGAAACAGUACAUGUUUGUUUUGUGCUGUCAGGGAGUUCAGCAUGAAUGGAGAAUUUCAGUGAAAAAGAAAAGCUGAUCUUUCACUGUCCGAUAGACUAAUAAGUCCCGUUGUCAGCGCCAAGGUGAGUUCUUGACUACUAAGAAUCACUCUUGCCACUGCAGGAAUGUGUGCUUCUACUUUGUCAUUCAAACUUCCAUGGCUUUAAGAUGAAAGACAUGACAAACAACAGAUCUGUUUAUUUUGACUUUACAGAUAUAUCAUUAAAUUCAGCAAUGUUGAUGUUAGCUGAGGACUCAGAAUUUUAUCAAUGGUUAAGAGCUGCUUUAAUAUUAUUUUUAUGAUUAAAAUAUUACAAUUAUAUGUUUUUCCUAUUUAAGAGUAUUGUCAUUAGUUUGUUAGAUUCCACUUGUGGACCUUUAACGCAGCUGUAUCAAUAACUGAAUUUUCUUUGGCCUGGCUGACCAUAGUCCUUUCCACCUAAAUGUCAUAAUUGAUUCUGAAUACACUCUGAUGCAACAGCACUUGGGUGAUAUAGGAGUCUUGAAGGGAUCUGGAAUUGGGUUUUCUUUUAUUUGUAUUGCACAAAGGCACUAGGUACUUAGGAAACACAAGAUAAUUGCCUGUGCUCCACAACAAAGCAUAUUCUCCGUAGAAAAAUAUAAUUCUAGGGAAAUGCAAGAAAUUUGUACGGAAAACUACCUGGGGACAGUGAAGCACUGUUACUGCUGUUUUUCCAGUUCUUGUCUCUUAUCAAUACUUUGGACAGUAAUUUUGUCUUAGAUUGUUGACAUUUGUAUAUAGAGAGAAUCUACCUAUGUGGAUAACUCGCUCAUAUCUAUUUAAUUAGAAAUUUUUAUGCAAUUUGAUAUGCUACCAUUUUUUGAAGGAGUCUUAAGAUAGCACAUUCAUGGAAGUGGGUCAUAGUAUAUCUCCAGAGCAACCAAACAGAACUCACAUGUGAAUGAACGUAACCUUCCAACAGAUGUUCUCAUUUUCCUGUAUCUAAAACUCAUGAAAUUUCCCAGGCAGCACAAAUAUUCCAACUGACUUCAAUAUGAGGAUGCACAAGUCUUAUAUGUGUAACUUGAAAGCAGACAUUGAUCAAGAUGAUGUAGAGCAUGCUGCAGAGGAUGAACGGCUCUGCUCUGAUCACUCCUUACUUG